UCGGCAUCAUAGUCCUUGUUGCACUGUUGAUGGUGGCAUCAAUUACAAUGCCAGUUGCGGCCUAUGGAAGACAUAGGAAGGGCCAUGGAGCGUAUAAAGGAAGUCAUUCCAGUGGAGGACAUUCUGGCGGAGGGCACAGUGGACAUGGUGGUAAUUAUCACGGCUAUCCUAAAACUGGUGGAAGCUACCGAUAUAGAGGGUGAAACUUUGAAAACAGGAAUAUUUUGUUUUGUAAUGAAUAAAACAAUUGCC
Long non-coding RNA from Mytilus trossulus (common blue mussel), 252 nucleotides. RefSeq lists it as uncharacterized. The transcript is spliced from 3 exons. The record is from RefSeq and is a predicted model, not a curated record. NCBI's taxonomy places the organism in Eukaryota, Metazoa, Mollusca, Bivalvia, Mytilida, Mytilidae.